GACGAACGCUGGCGGCGUGCCUAAUACAUGCAAGUAGAACGCUGAAGGAGGAGCUUGCUCUUCUGGAUGAGUUGCGAACGGGUGAGUAACGCGUAGGUAACCUGCCUGGUAGCGGGGGAUAACUAUUGGAAACGAUAGCUAAUACCGCAUAAGAGUAGAUGUUGCAUGACAUUUACUUAAAAGGUGCAAUUGCAUCACUACCAGAUGGACCUGCGUUGUAUUAGCUAGUUGGUGGGGUAACGGCUUACCAAGGCGACGAUACAUAGCCGACCUGAGAGGGGGAUCGGCCACACUGGGACUGAGACACGGCCCAGACUCCUACGGGAGGCAGCAGUAGGGAAUCUUCGGCAAUGGACGGAAGUCUGACCGAGCAACGCCGCGUGAGUGAAGAAGGUUUUCGGAUCGUAAAGCUCUGUUGUAAGAGAAGAACGAGUGUGAGAGUGGAAAGUUCACACUGUGACGGUAUCUUACCAGAAAGGGACGGCUAACUACGUG
This 495-nucleotide ribosomal RNA is filed under the name uncultured bacterium. RNAcentral's name for it is "partial 16S ribosomal RNA". It matches the Rfam family "Bacterial small subunit ribosomal RNA", at positions 28 to 507 of the family's 1533-position model. The record is from RNAcentral.